AUUGAACGCUGGCGGCAUGCCUUACACAUGCAAGUCGAACGGCAGCAUGAUCUAGCUUGCUCGAUUGAUGGCGAGUGGCGAACGGGUGAGUAAUACAUCGGAACGUGCCCUGUAGUGGGGGAUAACCAGUCGAAAGAUUAGCUAAUACCGCAUACGACCUGAGGGUGAAAGUGGGGGACCGCAAGGCCUCAUGCUAUAGGAGCGGCCGAUGUCUGAUUAGCUAGUUGGUGGGGUAAAGGCUCACCAAGGCGACGAUCAGUAGCUGGUCUGAGAGGACGAUCAGCCACACUGGGACUGAGACACGGCCCAGACUCCUACGGGAGGCAGCAGUGGGGAAUUUUGGACAAUGGGCGAAAGCCUGAUCCAGCAAUGCCGCGUGUGUGAAGAAGGCCUUCGGGUUGUAAAGCACUUUUGUCCGGAAAGAAAUGGCCCUGGUUAAUACCUGGGGUCGAUGACGGUACCGGAAGAAUAAGGACCGGCUAACUACGUG
This 490-nucleotide ribosomal RNA is filed under the name uncultured bacterium. RNAcentral describes it as "partial 16S ribosomal RNA". It matches the Rfam family "Bacterial small subunit ribosomal RNA", at positions 30 to 507 of the family's 1533-position model. The record is from RNAcentral.